UGGGGAAUUUUGGACAAUGGGCGCAAGCCUGAUCCAGCCAUGCCGCGUGCAGGAUGAAGGCCUUCGGGUUGUAAACUGCUUUUGUACGGAACGAAACGGCCUUUUCUAAUAAAGAGGGCUAAUGACGGUACCGUAAGAAUAAGCACCGGCUAACUACGUG
RNAcentral lists this ribosomal RNA (160 nucleotides) under tylosin-resistant soil bacterium cfr7. RNAcentral describes it as "partial 16S ribosomal RNA". It matches the Rfam family "Bacterial small subunit ribosomal RNA", at positions 355 to 507 of the family's 1533-position model. The record is from RNAcentral. RNAcentral also lists the same sequence under 1 other name. Lineage: Bacteria; Pseudomonadati; Pseudomonadota; Betaproteobacteria; Burkholderiales; Comamonadaceae.